Molecule: non-coding RNA, 102 nt
Organism: Triticum urartu
Lineage: Eukaryota; Viridiplantae; Streptophyta; Magnoliopsida; Poales; Poaceae
Source: Rfam
CUAUUACUCCCUCCGUUCCGAAUUACUUGUAUUAGAUUUGUCUAGAUACAUCCGUAUCUAGACAAAUUCAGGACAAGUAAUUCAGAACGGAGGGAGUAGAUA